GAUGAACGCUGGCGGCGUGCUUAACACAUGCAAGUCGAACGGUGAAGGCGGAGCUUGCUCUGCUGGAUCAGUGGCGAACGGGUGAGUAACACGUGAGCAAUCUGCCCCUGACUCUGGGAUAAGCGCUGGAAACGGCGUCUAAUACUGGAUACGAGCUGCGAAGGCAUCUUCAGCAGCUGGAAAGAAUUUCGGUCAGGGAUGAGCUCGCGGCCUAUCAGCUUGUUGGUGAGGUAAUGGCUCACCAAGGCGUCGACGGGUAGCCGGCCUGAGAGGGUGACCGGCCACACUGGGACUGAGACGCGGCCCAGACUCCUACGGGAGGCAGCAGUGGGGAAUAUUGCACAAUGGGCGAAAGCCUGAUGCAGCAACGCCGCGUGAGGGACGACGGCCUUCGGGUUGUAAACCUCUUUUAGCAGGGAAGAAGCGAAAGUGACGGUACCUGCAGAAAAAGCGCCGGCUAACUACGUG
Molecule: ribosomal RNA, 468 nt
Filed under: uncultured bacterium
Lineage: Bacteria
Description: partial 16S ribosomal RNA
Rfam family: Bacterial small subunit ribosomal RNA
Source: RNAcentral